GUGGGGAAUAUUGGACAAUGGGGGGAACCCUGAUCCAGCCAUGCCGCGUGUGUGAAGAAGGCCUUUUGGUUGUAAAGCACUUUAAGCGAGGAGGAGGCUACCGAGAUUAAUACUCUUGGAUAGUGGACGUUACUCGCAGAAUAAGCACCGGCUAACUCUGUGCCAGCAGCCGCGGUAAUACAGAGGGUGCAAGCGUUAAUCGGAUUUACUGGGCGUAAAGCGCGCGUAGGUGGCCAAUUAAGUCAAAUGUGAAAUCCCCGAGCUUAACUUGGGAAGUGCAUUCGAUACUGGUUGGCUAGAGUAUGGGAGAGGAUGGUAGAAUUCCAGGUGUAGCGGUGAAAUGCGUAGAGAUCUGGAGGAAUACCGAUGGCGAAGGCAGCCAUCUGGCCUAAUACUGACACUGAGGUGCGAAAGCAUGGGGAGCAAACAGGAUUAGAUACCCGUGUAGUCC
This 451-nucleotide ribosomal RNA is filed under the name uncultured bacterium. Its description in RNAcentral is "partial 16S ribosomal RNA". It matches the Rfam family "Bacterial small subunit ribosomal RNA", at positions 354 to 796 of the family's 1533-position model. The record is from RNAcentral.